UAUAAAUCGUCGAGCACUUUGAAUGUUCAUAAGGGUUACUGCUGAUUCGAUUUCUGGAUCAGCAAUGACCACCAAUAUGUAUGUGUCCUCAGUAUAUGGAACAAUGAAUGCAGAGAAAUUACCACCACGAAGCUCAAAAGUAGUAAAUUGAGCUUGCAUUUUGCUACAACUGAGUUUAAAUUGCUUAACAAUAUUGCUAAUUUUUUCGAACCUGUGAGCAUCAGUGGCAGGAUUGGACUCAGAAGAAUAAGAAGAAAUAACCAAAAAUGUUGUUCUUUC
This is a non-coding RNA of Schizosaccharomyces pombe (fission yeast), 279 nucleotides long. The record is from the annotation of a GenBank genome assembly. NCBI's taxonomy places the organism in Eukaryota, Fungi, Ascomycota, Schizosaccharomycetes, Schizosaccharomycetales, Schizosaccharomycetaceae.